RNAcentral lists this long non-coding RNA (1031 nucleotides) under Monodelphis domestica (gray short-tailed opossum). RNAcentral describes it as "lncRNA (ENSMODG00000041165.1)". Lineage: Eukaryota; Metazoa; Chordata; Mammalia; Didelphimorphia; Didelphidae. The record is from RNAcentral.
AGGGAGAGUGGGCAGAGGAAGGGGAAAGAACCUGUGUCCUCUCUCUGUCUGUUGAUAUUUUCUUUUCACCUUCGAUUCUCUGGUCAAAAGAGGUGAUUCCAUAGUUGUCCUUCAUUUUUUUUUUUAAUGAGAGAAACCAAAUGGGAACAUUAACUUCCAUAGAGGGUUUGUUCAUUGUGGGACACCUGCUGGUCCAGGAGAGAGAUUUACAUAAAAUAAAUAGCAGCUUCCCUUCCAGGAACAGUGAGAUUUAGUGGAUCCUAAAAUCAUGGACUGAAUUUCAAGAAUCCCACUGCUUUCUAUUACCUCCUUGAUGAAUUUCACAGCCUACAGUCCUCAAGCUACCGAGUGCCACAAAAUGGAGGAAAAAGUCAACAAUCUUUUAUUAAAUGCUUACAACAUGCCAGCCGCUGUGCUAAAACUGAUCACAUAAAGGAAGGCAAAAAAUAGAUACAAAUACCCAGAGGAGGUGAAAGGCUCUCUGAGAGGCAAAGGCAUUAGCCACUGGAGAAGGCAGUGAGGGAAGUCACUGGCGAAGUUCUGAGAUAGAUGGCACAGUGGGCGAAUUCUUUUUCUCAAUCAUCAUUUUGUCCCCUCACAGAUUUGAUCAGUUGGCCAGACUGAAAAUCCCAUGCAUGGGAGCAGCGAGAAUAAUGCCUUUGUAUGGCAUCCAAAGUCAAAAGGAGAUGUUGCUGUCACAUGAAUACAAGGGAAUAGGUAUACUACAGUUCUUGAAGAAAAAAGACUGACUUUCCACAUUGCUCAUCAACAACAUCAAUGAGUUCAGAGCUCUCCGAGUUGUCCUUUCCAUGAAGGUACAUACUUAACACAGAAAUACUCCCAACUGCUUCCUUAAUUCUCCACAAAUGGUAUUAUCCUGUACCUUCAUUGCUCUACUGCCACCAGGAGAUAUCAUGGCCAAGAUGAAGAAGGAAUGGCUUCCCCCUAGGACCUGGUUUUUUGCAGAGAAAGGGGAUGGAACAUGGCCUUCUGUGGAAAAGAGAAUGGCACAGGUGAUUAGACCAGAAUAA